RNAcentral lists this ribosomal RNA (601 nucleotides) under Trichoderma aureoviride. RNAcentral's name for it is "eukaryotic LSU rRNA". The stretch from base 173 to 326 matches the Rfam family "5.8S ribosomal RNA". Lineage: Eukaryota; Fungi; Ascomycota; Sordariomycetes; Hypocreales; Hypocreaceae. The record is from RNAcentral.
GAACGUUACCAAACUGUUGCCUCGGCGGGAUCUCUGCCCCGGGUGCGUCGCACCCCGGACCAAGGCGCCCGCCGGAGGACCAACCAAAACUCUUAUUGUAUACCCCCUCGCGGGUUUUUUUAUAAUCUGAGCCUUCUCGGCGCCUCUCGUAGGCGUUUCGAAAAUGAAUCAAAACUUUCAACAACGGAUCUCUUGGUUCUGGCAUCGAUGAAGAACGCAGCGAAAUGCGAUAAGUAAUGUGAAUUGCAGAAUUCAGUGAAUCAUCGAAUCUUUGAACGCACAUUGCGCCCGCCAGUAUUCUGGCGGGCAUGCCUGUCCGAGCGUCAUUUCAACCCUCGAACCCCUCCGGGGGGUCGGCGUUGGGGAUCGGCCCUGCCUUGGCGGUGGCCGUCUCCGAAAUACAGUGGCGGUCUCGCCGCAGCCUCUCCUGCGCAGUAGUUUGCACACUCGCAUCGGGAGCGCGGCGCGUCCACAGCCGUUAAACACCCAACUUCUGAAAUGUUGACCUCGGAUCAGGUAGGAAUACCCGCUGAACUUAAGCUUAAAGACGGAAAAAAAACUCCCAAACCCAAUGUGAACGUUACCAAACUGUUGCCUCGGC